RNAcentral lists this ribosomal RNA (497 nucleotides) under uncultured bacterium. RNAcentral's name for it is "partial 16S ribosomal RNA". It matches the Rfam family "Bacterial small subunit ribosomal RNA", at positions 28 to 507 of the family's 1533-position model. The record is from RNAcentral.
GAUGAACGCUGGCGGCGUGCCUAAUACAUGCAAGUCGAGCGAACAGACGAGGAGCUUUCUCCUCUUACGUUAGCGGCGGACGGGUAAGUAACACGUGGAUAACCUACCUAUAAGACUGGGAUAACUUCGGGAAACCGGAGCUCAUACCGGAUAAUAUAUUGAACCGCAUGGUUCAAUAGUGAAAGACGGUUUUGCUGUCACUUAUAGAUGUAUCCGCGCCGCAUUAGCUAGUUGGUAAGGUAACGGCUUACCAAGGCGACGAUGCGUAGCCGACCUGAGAGGGUGAUCGGCCACACUGGAACUGAGACACGGUCCAGACUCCUACGGGAGGCAGCAGUAGGGAAUCUUCCGCAAUGGGCGAAAGCCUGACGGAGCAACGCCGCGUGAGUGAUGAAGGUCUUCGGAUCGUAAAACUCUGUUAUUAGGGAAGAACAAAUGUGUAAGUAACUAUGCACGUCUUGACGGUACCUAAUCAGAAAGCCACGGCUAACUACGUG